CCAUUUCGAGCGUCAUUAUCACCCCUCAAGCCUAGCUUGGUGUUGAGACCUGCUGUCAAGGCAGUCUCUAAAAUCAGUGGCAGUGCUGUCAGGCUCUAAGCGUAGUAAAUUCAUCGCUAUAGACACCUGGUGGCCACUCGCCAGAACCCCCCCAUUUUUUAAUGAUUGACCUCGGAUUAGGUAGGGAUACCCGCUGAACUUAAGCAUAUCAAUAAGCGGAGGAAAAGAAACCAACAGGGAUUGCCUCAGUAACGGCGAGUGAAGCGGCAAAAGCUCAAAUUUGAAAUCUGGCUCUUUUAGGGUCCGAGUUGUAAUUUGUAGAAGAUGUUUCGGGUGUGGCUCCGGUUUAAGUUCUUUGGAAUAUUACAUCAUAGAGGGUGAGAAUCCCGUAUGUGACCGGCAGCCUUCGCCUAUGUGAAACUCUUUCGACGAGUCGAGUUGUUUGGGAAUGCAGCUCAAAAUGGGAGGUAUAUUUCUUCUAAAGCUAAAUAUUGGCCAGAGACCGAUAGCGCACAAGUAGAGUGAUCGAAAGAUGAAAAGCACUUUGGAAAGAGAGUUAAACAGUACGUGAAAUUGUUGAAAGGGAAGCGCUUGCAACCAGACUUACACGCAGUUGAUCAUCCGGUGUUCUCACCGGGGCACUCUGCUGCGUUCAGGCCAGCAUCGGUUUUGGUGGUUGGAUAAAGGCCUUGGGAAUGUGGCUUCCUUCGGGGAGUGUUAUAGCCCUCGGUGCAAUGCAGCCUCC
RNAcentral lists this ribosomal RNA (745 nucleotides) under uncultured Tetracladium. RNAcentral's name for it is "eukaryotic LSU rRNA". The stretch from base 167 to 745 matches the Rfam family "Eukaryotic large subunit ribosomal RNA", at positions 1 to 583 of the family's 3401-position model. The record is from RNAcentral. Lineage: Eukaryota; Fungi; Ascomycota.